ACGGAAGGCAGCAGUGAGGAAUAUUGGUCAAUGGACGGAAGUCUGAACCAGCCAAGUCGCGUGCGGGAUGAAGGCCCUACGGGUCGUAAACCGCUUUUGUACGGGGAUAAAGUCACCCACGUGUGGGUGUUUGUAGGUACCGUAAGAAUAAGGAUCGGCUAACUCCGUGCCAGCAGCCGCGGUAAUACGGAGGAUCCGAGCGUUAUCCGGAUUUAUUGGGUUUAAAGGGUGCGCAGGCGGGAUGUCAAGUCAGUGGUGAAAUGGUGCGGCUCAACCGUAGCAUUGCCGUUGAAACUGGCGUCCUUGAGUGCGAAUGAGGUACGCGGAACGUGUCAUGUAGCGGUGAAAUGCAUAGAUAUGACACAGAACACCGAUUGCGAAGGCAGCGUACUGGGACGCGACUGACGCUGAGGCACGAAAGUGCGGGGAUCGAACAGGAUUAGAUACCCUGGUA
Molecule: ribosomal RNA, 454 nt
Filed under: uncultured Paludibacter sp.
Lineage: Bacteria; Pseudomonadati; Bacteroidota; Bacteroidia; Bacteroidales; Paludibacteraceae
Description: partial 16S ribosomal RNA
Rfam family: Bacterial small subunit ribosomal RNA
Source: RNAcentral